Molecule: transfer RNA, 72 nt
Filed under: Ovis aries (sheep)
Lineage: Eukaryota; Metazoa; Chordata; Mammalia; Artiodactyla; Bovidae
Rfam family: tRNA
About the family: Transfer RNA (tRNA) molecules are approximately 80 nucleotides in length. Their secondary structure includes four short double-helical elements and three loops (D, anti-codon, and T loops).
Source: Rfam by way of RNAcentral
UCCCUGGUGGCUCAGAGGUUAAAGCGUCUGCCUCCAAUGCAGGAGACCCAGGUUCAAUCCCUGGGUGGGGGA